AGCAACAGCCAUAUCACCCUGCAGCCCAAGACCGGUUACUCACUGAAGCUAAGCAGGGCUGAGCCUGGUUAGUACCUGGAUGGGAGACCACUAGGGAACACUAGGUUGCUGUUGGAA
This 117-nucleotide ribosomal RNA is filed under the name Danio rerio (zebrafish). The record is from RNAcentral. Lineage: Eukaryota; Metazoa; Chordata; Actinopteri; Cypriniformes; Danionidae.